AGUGAACGCUGGCGGUAGGCCUAACACAUGCAAGUCGAACGGCAGCACAGUAAGAGUUUGCUCUUACGGGUGGCGACUGGCGGACGGGUGAGGCAUACAUCGGAAUCUACUUUUUCGUGGGUGAUAACGUAGGGACACUUACGCUAAUACCGCAUAUGACCUACGGGUGAAAGCAGUGGAUCUUCGGACCUUGCGCGAUUGAAUGAGCCGAUGUCGGAUUAGCUAGUUGGCGGGGUAAAGGCCCACCAAGGCAACGAUCCGUAGCUGGUCUGAGAGGAUGAUCGGCCACACUGGAACUGAGACACGGUCCAGACUCCUACGGGAGGCAGCAGUGGGGAAUAUUGGACAAUGGGCGCAAGCCUGACCCAGCCAUACCGCGUGAGUGAAGAAGGUCUUCGGGUUGUAAAGCCCUUUUGUUAGGAAAGAAAAACAGCAGGAUAAUACCCCGAUGUUCUGACGGUACCCAAAGAAUAAGCACCGGCUAACUUCGUG
This 492-nucleotide ribosomal RNA is filed under the name uncultured bacterium. RNAcentral's name for it is "partial 16S ribosomal RNA". It matches the Rfam family "Bacterial small subunit ribosomal RNA", at positions 29 to 507 of the family's 1533-position model. The record is from RNAcentral.